AAAGAGCCAGAGCCAGAUGGCAACAGGAGUGAGAAAGGUAGAAGAUGAAUGAUUGAGGAUGAAAAUUCCCUCAAGAGAUUUUAUUUGACCAACAUCAAUUCAAUGAAAGCUGUGAUUAAGAGGUUUCACACGGAUGGAGCUGGAAGCCAUUAUCCUCAGCAAACUAACACAGGAACAGAAAACCAAAUAGCGCAUCUUCUCACUUACAAGUGGGAGCUGAACAACGAGAACACAUGGACACAGGGAGGGAAAAAGCACACACCGGGGACUCUCAGGGGAGGGCAGGGGAAGGAAGAGCAUCAUGAUAAACAGCUAAUGCAUGCAUGGCUUAAUACCUAGGGGAUGUGUUGAUAGGUGCAGCCAACUACCAUGGCACACGUUUACCUAUGUAACAAACCUGC
This 401-nucleotide long non-coding RNA is filed under the name Homo sapiens (human). RNAcentral describes it as "non-protein coding lnc-PMAIP1-2:1". Lineage: Eukaryota; Metazoa; Chordata; Mammalia; Primates; Hominidae. The record is from RNAcentral.